This 136-nucleotide ribosomal RNA is filed under the name Danio rerio (zebrafish). The record is from RNAcentral. Lineage: Eukaryota; Metazoa; Chordata; Actinopteri; Cypriniformes; Danionidae.
AUCGGCAGUUUCUCAUCAAAUCUUGACCAAUCGAAACCUCUCUAGUAUAGCCAGCAGCUAGCUGGAGCUAAGCAGGGCUGUGCCCGGUCAGUACCUGGAUGAGAGACCACAUGGGAAAGCUAGGUUACUGCCGGAA